GAUGAACGCUGGCGGCAUGCCUAACACAUGCGAGUCGAUCGGUAAGGCUCUUCGGAGUACACGAGAGGCGGACGGCUGAGUAACGCGUAGGAACACACCCUGCAGUGAGGGAUAAGACACCGAAAGGUGUUCUAAUACCGCAUACGGUCUUCGGAUUAAAGCAUUUAUGCGCUGAAGGAGUGGCCUGCGUCAUAUUAGAUAGUUGGUGAGGUAAUGGCUCACCAAGUCGAUGAUGUGUAGCUGGUCUGGGAGGAUGAUCAGCCAGACUGGAACUGAGACACGGUCCAGACUCCUACGGGAGGCAGCAGUGAGGAAUAUUUCACAAUGAGCGAAAGCUUGAUGGAGCAAUGCCGCGUGCAGGAUGAAGGCCCUCGGGUUGUAAACUGCUUUUAUAAGAGAAGAUUAUGACGGUAACUUAUGAAUAAGGGACGGCUAACUACGUG
Molecule: ribosomal RNA, 443 nt
Filed under: uncultured bacterium
Lineage: Bacteria
Description: partial 16S ribosomal RNA
Rfam family: Bacterial small subunit ribosomal RNA
Source: RNAcentral